This 88-nucleotide transfer RNA is filed under the name Saccharata proteae CBS 121410. It matches the Rfam family "tRNA". Rfam says of the family: Transfer RNA (tRNA) molecules are approximately 80 nucleotides in length. Their secondary structure includes four short double-helical elements and three loops (D, anti-codon, and T loops). The record is from Rfam by way of RNAcentral. Lineage: Eukaryota; Fungi; Ascomycota; Dothideomycetes; Botryosphaeriales; Saccharataceae.
GGUGACGUGGCCGAGUGGUUAUGGCGCUAGUUUCAGGUUAUCAACCUACUAGUGGGAAACCGCGUGAGUUCGAGUCUCACCGUCAUCA